RNAcentral lists this transfer RNA (78 nucleotides) under Prevotella sp. RNAcentral's name for it is "tRNA-Met". It matches the Rfam family "tRNA". From Rfam's summary of the family: Transfer RNA (tRNA) molecules are approximately 80 nucleotides in length. Their secondary structure includes four short double-helical elements and three loops (D, anti-codon, and T loops). Lineage: Bacteria; Pseudomonadati; Bacteroidota; Bacteroidia; Bacteroidales; Prevotellaceae. RNAcentral also lists the same sequence under 1 other name. The record is from RNAcentral.
GCGCAAGUAACUCAGUUGGUAGAGUAUGAAGGUUCAUCCCCUUCGAGGUCGUGGGUUCGAGUCCCACCUUGCGCCCCA